GACAGAAAGAACCAAAGCGAUGAGAUAAUUCCUCACACAGGCCAUCAUGACUCUGACGACUAAAAAACAUUGACUGGCUUGUAAUCACACGACAGUCUGGACAGAAUUGAAAAAAACAAGAGUCUAGGUCUACAAGUAUGCCUGCCUUCCUUCCACCAUUAUUUGCUGCUCAGAAUUAAAGUCUGAUUAAAGCAUGGCCAAGCAUCCUCUUGAGGGAGAAGGAAGGGAAAGGAAAGUGAUUGAAAGCACCGGGUGGAAAGGGAAGGUCUACAAAGAAUCCUGCAGUGAAGCUUGACCUCCUGAGGGUUGUGAUUGAAGUAUAAGGAACCAGGGUGCCUGAGCUAGAAGAGAUGGACAAAAUGUUUAAAGUAUCUUCUUAAAGACUCUGUUUGAAGGUGUUAGUAAGCAAUCAACGCUGUGAGGACUUGUGAAUCCCAAGUCCAGGAAAGGAGAAAGGCCAAGAGAGUCUUCAUCCAGUGCUGUCAACAUAAAAGAAAGGAGCAAGAUGGGGCAAAUCAGGACACCAUAUGCUGAGGAACAAAGGGAAAGACACAGGGUUUCCCACUCGGCAAUCAAGGCAGAAAGAACAAUUGAUAGGCAGAAGCUGCAUCAAAGACUGCAAAGCCAGAACACCUCAUCUCCACGUGGCAUGACCUCCAUUAUCAGCAGACCUGUCACUCACACCCACUUGGGAAGUUCCUGGUGGCAUUCAAAGAAGUUGACGCUUACCGGGCCAAGUGGAAGAGUCACGUUACGUGUUCUUGAGGCCAGAAGUCCAAAAUCAAGCUAUCAGCAGGGCUAUGCUCCCUCUGAAGGAGGUUCUGAAGUAUGAUCCCUGCUUUGCCUCUUCCAGCUUCUCAGUAGCCCUAGGCAUUUCUUGAUUAGGACACAUCACUAAAAUCUCCGCCUUUGUCUUUUUUUUUUUUUUUCACAUUUCUAAAAUUGCUAAUACAGAUAUACCAUACAUCUAACCAUUCCCUAUUUUUUUUACAGCAUCAUUGAGAUAUUGCUAUAUAACAUGUAAAUUUAAGGCAUACAAUGUGAUGAUUGGAUGCACAUAUAAUUGCAAA
Molecule: long non-coding RNA, 1070 nt
Organism: Acinonyx jubatus (cheetah)
Lineage: Eukaryota; Metazoa; Chordata; Mammalia; Carnivora; Felidae
Exons: 7
Source: RefSeq, a predicted model, not a curated record